GGCAACUGUUACUACAACGACUGACAAAUGCGACGAUGCUAGUGCUAACGACGCCGACUUGCCUUGCCAAUGAAGACCCAGUUUCAGCCGCAGUCUUCAUUGCGUUCCGAAAAUUCUAGUUCACGUACCACAUUGGGGGCAAAGGAUGUGUGCGGGCGAGGAAAUAAAGAGAAUUCAUUGUAGCUUUC
Molecule: long non-coding RNA, 188 nt
Organism: Varroa destructor (honeybee mite)
Lineage: Eukaryota; Metazoa; Arthropoda; Arachnida; Mesostigmata; Varroidae
Source: RefSeq, a predicted model, not a curated record